UACGUAGGGUGCGAGCGUUAAUCGGAAUUACUGGGCGUAAAGCGUGCGCAGGCGGUUUUGUAAGACAGGUGUGAAAUCCCCGGGCUUAACCUGGGAACUGCACUUGUGACUGCAAGGCUAGAGUAUGGCAGAGGGGGGUAGAAUUCCACGUGUAGCAGUGAAAUGCGUAGAUAUGUGGAGGAAUACCGAUGGCGAAGGCAGCCCCCUGGGUCAAUACUGACGCUCAUGCACGAAAGCGUGGGGAGCAAACAGG
Molecule: ribosomal RNA, 253 nt
Filed under: uncultured bacterium
Lineage: Bacteria
Description: partial 16S ribosomal RNA
Rfam family: Bacterial small subunit ribosomal RNA
Source: RNAcentral